This 221-nucleotide unclassified non-coding RNA is filed under the name Hevea brasiliensis (rubber tree). The record is from RNAcentral. Lineage: Eukaryota; Viridiplantae; Streptophyta; Magnoliopsida; Malpighiales; Euphorbiaceae.
GUGAAACCAAGCAUCCUAGGCUUCCAGCCUGCAUUACAAAAUUGUUGUCUUCAAGCUACAACUUUAUCUGCCUCAGAUACAUGAUCUUCAACCUUGUCAAAAUCGAAACUCUUAGCAACAUCAAAGAAGUGAGCUACGGCUUCUUCAGGCGUACCCACGAGCACACCGUGGCCAAGAUUGAGGAUGUGACCACUACUCCCUGCACUCUUGACAACCCUUUU